CUCUUCAAACCGCUACUAAUCUUCAUUAUUAAAGCUGAAUUUCCACAAAAUAUCAAGAGAAGAAAUCUGUGACGUCUUUUUACUGAAAAAAAAAGAGAAAAUGGAUGUUCGUGACGAAAUUGACAUGAACAAGCUUCACAAAUCCACCGAAAAGCAAAAAAAAAAACGAAGAUGCCGAAAGAAAAAAAGGAAACGACUGGAAGAUCUAGUGAAGAGCAAAAAAUCGGGAAUGCAAAGCAACUAGACAUGAAGGA
Spinacia oleracea (spinach) is the source of this 254-nucleotide long non-coding RNA. RefSeq lists it as uncharacterized. The transcript is spliced from 3 exons. NCBI's taxonomy places the organism in Eukaryota, Viridiplantae, Streptophyta, Magnoliopsida, Caryophyllales, Amaranthaceae. The record is from RefSeq and is a predicted model, not a curated record.